This 253-nucleotide ribosomal RNA is filed under the name uncultured bacterium. Its description in RNAcentral is "partial 16S ribosomal RNA". It matches the Rfam family "Bacterial small subunit ribosomal RNA", at positions 524 to 776 of the family's 1533-position model. The record is from RNAcentral.
UACGUAGGCAGCAAGCGUUGUUCGGAAUUACUGGGCGUAAAGAGUGUGUAGGCGGUGCUCUAAGUCUGUUGUGAAAUCUCCCGGCUUAACCGGGAGGGUGCGGCGGAAACUGGAGUGCUUGAGGGUGGGAGAGGUAAGCGGAAUUCCUGGUGUAGCGGUGAAAUGCGCAGAUAUCAGGAGGAACACCGAUGGCGAAGGCAGGUCUCUGGGCCACGACUGACGCUGAGAAGCGAAAGCAUGGGGAGCGAACAGG